CCCUGGCUCAGGACGAACGCAGGCGGCGUGCCUAAUACAUGCAAGUCGAGCGGAGUUGAUGAGGUGCUUGCACCUCUGAUACUUAGCGGCGGACGGGUGAGUAACACGUGGGUAACCUGCCUAUAAGACUGGGAUAACAUUCGGAAACGAAUGCUAAUACCGGAUACGCGAUAUGGUCGCAUGAUUGAAUCGGGAAAGAUGGAGCAAUCUAUCACUUAUAGAUGGACCCGCGGCGCAUUAGCUAGUUGGUGAGGUAACGGCUCACCAAGGCGACGAUGCGUAGCCGACCUGAGAGGGUGAUCGGCCACACUGGGACUGAGACACGGCCCAGACUCCUACGGGAGGCAGCAGUAGGGAAUCUUCCGCAAUGGACGAAAGUCUGACGGAGCAACGCCGCGUGAGUGAUGAAGGUUUUCGGAUCGUAAAGCUCUGUUGCCAGGGAAGAAUGCUUGGGAGAGUAACUGCUCCCAAGGUGACGGUACCUGAGAAGAAAGCCCCG
This 499-nucleotide ribosomal RNA is filed under the name Paenibacillaceae bacterium CL2.24. Its description in RNAcentral is "bacterial SSU rRNA". It matches the Rfam family "Bacterial small subunit ribosomal RNA", at positions 17 to 495 of the family's 1533-position model. Lineage: Bacteria; Bacillati; Bacillota; Bacilli; Caryophanales; Paenibacillaceae. The record is from RNAcentral.